CAAAAUCAGAGACACAAAGACAUGAAAUAGCUUAGUGCGUUUAGAGAACUACAAACAAUUUAGUUAACCUUGAACAAUAUUUGUAUCAGCUACACUGACUAUACAACUAGGAAAUUUUAUUCAGAGAAAUAAAAUGGUAUUUGCCUAACCUAAGUAAAUGCAAGAAACUUUGAAUAUCUUAGUGUGUUGAAGAGCGUGAAAUAAAGCAAAACUAUGGCAUUAUUUUACAAAUAAGUAAUAGAAAACCCUUUCAAAGCCAUAAAGCUGCAUGGACAUGUAACCCACAAAUAAGUAAGCAUGAAGCUGGUUGAACAGUAAAAUCCCAUUAUCCUGUUGUUGGAUAAAUUAACUGAUGGUGCAAUACAAGAAACAAUCAGCAGUGAGUUUUUGAGUAAUGAAGAAUAAUCUUUAAAGACAUUCUCAACCCAACACUUGAGCCAGAGCAGUAUACAUGAUCUAAAAUAAAAGUGGGAAAAUCCCCAGAACUUAUAAAUAACUGCAGAAUGUAUUUUUUUGCAAAUGUAGAGACAUAUGGCAUCUUCAAUGCCUUUAAAUAUCUAUAUAGAUCUAUAAAUAUCUACAAAUAUCUACUUUUUAAAAGCAGCUGGUGAUGAAUCUAGCCUAACAACUGGAUUUUAAUAGUUUACACACUAAACGGGAAGUUGUGAGAGUCAGAAUGGUAGAUCCGACAUAAACAGCGAGUCCAACAUGCACCAUCUUUGUGCCUUACGUAGUAUGCGCUGACAGGAGACACAAAAGAAGGUGAGUCUGAUGUUGAGAUGUCACCUUACACACUGCCAGGGCACACGAAGUUUCCUGUUUUAUCACAGUCCCCACACGUGCAAAUCCACUCUAUAUCUUCAAUGCUACUACCCAUAUCAGACAUCAGAUUGGUGCUCAAUACAUUUAAUCUAUGAAUUCUUGGGAAUCUGAUUCCCUCCUAAUCUGUACAUUCAACCAGGACAACAAUCAUCUCUCUCUUGUUUACCGCUAAGCUUUUAUUUAUUUAUUUAUUUAUUUAUUUAUUUAU
Nomascus leucogenys (northern white-cheeked gibbon) is the source of this 1030-nucleotide long non-coding RNA. RefSeq lists it as uncharacterized. The transcript has 3 exons. The record is from RefSeq and is a predicted model, not a curated record. Lineage: Eukaryota; Metazoa; Chordata; Mammalia; Primates; Hylobatidae.